GGGCCGGUAGCUCAGCUUGGCUGGAGCGUUCGGCUGAUAACCGAAAGGUCGGGAGUUCGAAUCUCCCCCGGCCCA
RNAcentral lists this transfer RNA (75 nucleotides) under Candidatus Caldarchaeum subterraneum. RNAcentral describes it as "Candidatus Caldiarchaeum subterraneum (hot springs metagenome) tRNA-Ile". It matches the Rfam family "tRNA". From Rfam's summary of the family: Transfer RNA (tRNA) molecules are approximately 80 nucleotides in length. Their secondary structure includes four short double-helical elements and three loops (D, anti-codon, and T loops). The record is from RNAcentral. Lineage: Archaea; Thermoproteati; Nitrososphaerota; Candidatus Caldarchaeales; Candidatus Caldarchaeaceae. RNAcentral also lists the same sequence under 1 other name.